GGGAUUGCCCCAGUAACGGCGAGUGAAGCGGCAUGAGCUCAAAUUUGAAAUCUGGGGCCCUCGGCCCCCGAGUUGUAAUUUGGAGAGGCAUCUUCGGRGGGGAGCGCCGGCCCAUGUUCCUUGGAACAGGACGUCGCAGAGGGUGAGAAUCCCGUGCCAGGCCGGCAGCCUCCCCUCGMGUGAAGGGCCUUCGACGAGUCGAGUUGUUUGGGAAUGCAGCUCCAAGUGGGUGGUAUAUUUCAUCUAAAGCUAAAUACCGGCGGGAGACCGAUAGCGCACAAGUAGAGUGAUCGAAAGAUGAAAAGCACUUUGAAAAUAGAGUCAAAAAGUACGUGAAAUUGUUGAAAGGGAAGCGCUUGAGACCAGACUCAGACCCGAGCAAACACCGCGCCCCUCGGGGCCGUGCAAUUGCCAGGGGCUGGGCCAGCAUCAGUUGGCGUGGCGGGACAAAGGCGCGGGCAAUGUGGCUCCCCUCGGGGAGUGUUAUUAGGCCCACGCUCAAUGCCGCCGACGUCGACUGAGGACCGCGCCUCGGCUAGGAUGCUGGCUUAAUGGCCUUCAGCGACCCGUCUUGAAACACGGA
This 583-nucleotide ribosomal RNA is filed under the name uncultured Pezizales. Its description in RNAcentral is "eukaryotic LSU rRNA". It matches the Rfam family "Eukaryotic large subunit ribosomal RNA", at positions 71 to 665 of the family's 3401-position model. Lineage: Eukaryota; Fungi; Ascomycota; Pezizomycetes; Pezizales. The record is from RNAcentral.